This 587-nucleotide ribosomal RNA is filed under the name uncultured bacterium. RNAcentral describes it as "bacterial SSU rRNA". It matches the Rfam family "Bacterial small subunit ribosomal RNA", at positions 36 to 655 of the family's 1533-position model. The record is from RNAcentral.
CUGGCGGCGCGCCUACACAUGCAAGUCGAACGAGAAAGGGGAGCAAUCCCUGAGUACAGUGGCGUACGGGUGAGUAACACGUGGAUGAUCUGCCCCUUAGUGGGGAAUAACCCUGGGAAACCGGGGCUAAUACCGCAUAAGCUCGAGAGAGGAAAGCAGCAAUGCGCUGAGGGAGCGAGUCCGCGGCCGAUUAGCUAGUUGGCAGGGUAAAAGCCUACCAAGGCAGAGAUCGGUAGCCGGCCUGAGAGGGCACACGGCCACACUGGCACUGAAACACGGGCCAGACUCCUACGGGAGGCAGCAGUGGGGAAUCUUGCACAAUGGGGGAAACCCUGAUGCAGCGACGCCGCGUGAGCGAUGAAGCCCUUCGGGGUGUAAAGCUCUUUCGGCAGGGAAGAUGAUGACGGUACCUGCAGAAGCAGCUGCGGCUAACUACGUGCCAGCAGCCGCGGUAAUACGUAGGCAGCAAGCGUUGUUCGGAGUUACUGGGCGUAAAGGGUGUGUAGGCGGUUGUUUAAGUUUGGUGUGAAAUCUCCCGGCUCAACUGGGAGGGUGCGCCGAAUACUGAAUGACUCGAGUGCGGGAGA